GGAAAGGCCGAAGCUCAGUGCUAGAGAAUCAACCUUGCAUGCAGAAGGUCCCAGGUUCAAUUCCUGGCCUCUCCA
Non-coding RNA from Podarcis lilfordi (Lilford's wall lizard), 75 nucleotides. NCBI's taxonomy places the organism in Eukaryota, Metazoa, Chordata, Lepidosauria, Squamata, Lacertidae. The record is from the annotation of a GenBank genome assembly.